RNAcentral lists this ribosomal RNA (822 nucleotides) under uncultured eukaryote. Its description in RNAcentral is "SSU rRNA". It matches the Rfam family "Eukaryotic small subunit ribosomal RNA", at positions 629 to 1427 of the family's 1831-position model. The record is from RNAcentral.
CGGUGUUUAACUGGCGUGAUGUGGGACGUCCUACCGGUGGGCUUAGCCUCGCGAGGGGCGGCCCAACUAAUAUCCCGUCGCGGUGCUCUUUACUGAGUGUCGAGUCGGGCCGGGUACGUUUACUUUGAACAAAUUAGAGUGCUUAAAGCAGGCUAUCCUCGCCUGAAUACUGCGUGCAUGGAAUAAUGGAAUAGGACCUCGGUUCUAUUUUGUUGGUUUUCGGAACCCCGAGGUAAUGAUUAAUAGGGACAGAUGGGGGCAUUCGUAUUGCGACGUUAGAGGUGAAAUUCUUGGAUCGUCGCAAGACGGACAGAAGCGAAAGCAUUUGCCAAAAAUGUUUUCAUUAAUCAAGAACGAAAGUUAGAGGUUCGAAGGCGAUCAGAUACCGCCCUAGUUCUAACCAUAAACGAUGCCAGCUAGCGAUCCGCCGAAGUUCCUCCGAUGACUCGGCGGGCAGCUUCCGGGAAACCAAAGCUUUUGGGUUCCGGGGGAAGUAUGGUUGCAAAGCUGAAACUUAAAGGAAUUGACGGAAGGGCACCACCAGGAGUGGAGCCUGCGGCUUAAUUUGACUCAACACGGGAAACCUCACCAGGCCCAGACACCGGAAGGAUUGACAGAUUGAUAGCUCUUUCUUGAUUCGGUGGGUGGUGGUGCAUGGGCCGUUCUUAGUUGGUGGAGCGAUUUGUCUGGUUAAUUCCGAUAACGAACGAGACUCUAGCCUGCUAAAUAGGCGUACCUUAUGGUAUCGCGAAGGCCCCCGGCUUCGGCCGGUGGGUUUUUACUACCAACGUACAAACAAAUCUUCUUAGAGGGCACAGGCGG